GACGAACGCUGGCGGCGUGCUUAACACAUGCAAGUCGAACGGUGAAGCCCUUCGGGGUGGAUCAGUGGCGAACGGGUGAGUAACACGUGAGCAACCUGCCCCUGGCUCUGGGACAACCACUGGAAACGGUGGCUAAUACCGGAUACGACCCGCCUCGGUAUCGAGUGUGGGUGGAAAGUUUUUCGGCUGGGGAUGGGCUCGCGGCCUAUCAGCUUGUUGGUGAGGUGAAGGCUCACCAAGGCGACGACGGGUAGCCGGCCUGAGAGGGCGACCGGCCACACUGGGACUGAGACACGGCCCAGACUCCUACGGGAGGCAGCAGUGGGGAAUAUUGCACAAUGGGCGAAAGCCUGAUGCAGCGACGCCGCGUGAGGGAUGACGGCCUUCGGGUUGUAAACCUCUUUCAGCUCCGAAGAAGCGAAAGUGACGGUAGGAGCAGAAGAAGCACCGGCUAACUACGUG
This 462-nucleotide ribosomal RNA is filed under the name uncultured bacterium. Its description in RNAcentral is "partial 16S ribosomal RNA". It matches the Rfam family "Bacterial small subunit ribosomal RNA", at positions 28 to 507 of the family's 1533-position model. The record is from RNAcentral.